UACCGGACCACCUGCAGCUGAUUACCUGACCAGCUGUUGGUAAUCAUCCCUCCCUGCUGGAGAGAGGUAUUUAACCUGGACUCGCGGCGACAGUCGACGUGGGAUUAUUACUCCGAACUGGAUAGCCGAGCGGAGAAGCGAGUUGGGGAGCACACGCACUAAGGGAGCUACAGCACGGGACGCACUGGGAGCAGGAGACGAGCACCAUUGGAAUAUUGCACCUUUGAGUUUAUUGUUGGACUUACCUGUCUGGUCACUGUAAAUAAAGUGCACUGUGGCAUCGAAGAGUCCCGCGUUUUGGGUCCUACUUUCCUCGUCCCCACGGUCUGCAUGGCAGACCGUGACA
Molecule: long non-coding RNA, 346 nt
Organism: Oreochromis niloticus (Nile tilapia)
Lineage: Eukaryota; Metazoa; Chordata; Actinopteri; Cichliformes; Cichlidae
Exons: 2
Source: RefSeq, a predicted model, not a curated record